This 525-nucleotide ribosomal RNA is filed under the name Staphylococcus aureus. Its description in RNAcentral is "partial 23S ribosomal RNA". It matches the Rfam family "Bacterial large subunit ribosomal RNA", at positions 426 to 953 of the family's 2925-position model. The record is from RNAcentral. Lineage: Bacteria; Bacillati; Bacillota; Bacilli; Caryophanales; Staphylococcaceae.
GUGAAAUUCCGUCGGAAUCUGGGAGGACCAUCUCCUAAGGCUAAAUACUCUCUAGUGACCGAUAGUGAACCAGUACCGUGAGGGAAAGGUGAAAAGCACCCCGGAAGGGGAGUGAAAUAGAACCUGAAACCGUGUGCUUACAAGUAGUCAGAGCCCGUUAAUGGGUGAUGGCGUGCCUUUUGUAGAAUGAACCGGCGAGUUACGAUUUGAUGCAAGGUUAAGCAGUAAAUGUGGAGCCGUAGCGAAAGCGAGUCUGAAUAGGGCGUUUAGUAUUUGGUCGUAGACCCGAAACCAGGUGAUCUACCCUUGGUCAGGUUGAAGUUCAGGUAACACUGAAUGGAGGACCGAACCGACUUACGUUGAAAAGUGAGCGGAUGAACUGAGGGUAGCGGAGAAAUUCCAAUCGAACCUGGAGAUAGCUGGUUCUCUCCGAAAUAGCUUUAGGGCUAGCCUCAAGUGAUGAUUAUUGGAGGUAGAGCACUGUUUGGACGAGGGGCCCCUCUCGGGUUACCGAAUUCAGACAAA